RNAcentral lists this ribosomal RNA (411 nucleotides) under Verrucomicrobiota bacterium. RNAcentral's name for it is "Verrucomicrobia bacterium partial 16S ribosomal RNA". It matches the Rfam family "Bacterial small subunit ribosomal RNA", at positions 355 to 776 of the family's 1533-position model. Lineage: Bacteria; Pseudomonadati; Verrucomicrobiota. The record is from RNAcentral.
UGGGGAAUAUUGCGCAAUGGGGGAAACCCUGACGCAGCGACGCCGCGUGCGGGAUGAAGGCCUUCGGGUUGUAAACCGCUUUUGAUUGGGAGCAAGCUUUCGGGUGAGUGUACCUUUCGAAUAAGCGCCGGCUAACUACGUGCCAGCAGCCGCGGUAAUACGUAGGGCGCAAGCGUUAUCCGGAAUUAUUGGGCGUAAAGAGCUUGUAGGCGGUUCGUCGCGUCUGGUGUGAAAGCCCAUCGCUUAACGGUGGGUUUGCGCCGGGUACGGGCGGGCUAGAGUGCAGUAGGGGAGACUGGAAUUCCCGGUGUAACGGUGGAAUGUGUAGAGAUCGGGAAGAACACCAAUGGCGAAGGCAGGUCUCUGGGCUGUUACUGACGCUGAGAAGCGAAAGCGUGGGGAGCGAACAGG